RNAcentral lists this ribosomal RNA (466 nucleotides) under Vreelandella stevensii. Its description in RNAcentral is "partial 16S ribosomal RNA". It matches the Rfam family "Bacterial small subunit ribosomal RNA", at positions 338 to 795 of the family's 1533-position model. The record is from RNAcentral. Lineage: Bacteria; Pseudomonadati; Pseudomonadota; Gammaproteobacteria; Oceanospirillales; Halomonadaceae.
CCUACGGGUAGCAGCAGUGGGGAAUAUUGGACAAUGGGCGAAAGCCUGAUCCAGCCAUGCCGCGUGUGUGAAGAAGGCCUUCGGGUUGUAAAGCACUUUCAGUGGGGAAGAAAGCCUUGGGGCUAAUACCCUCGAGGAAGGACAUCACCCACAGAAGAAGCACCGGCUAACUCCGUGCCAGCAGCCGCGGUGAAUACGGAGGGUGCGAGCGUUAAUCGGAAUUACUGGGCGUAAAGCGCGCGUAGGCGGUCUGAUAAGCCGGUUGUGAAAGCCCCGGGCUCAACCUGGGAACGGCAUCCGGAACUGUCAGGCUAGAGUGCAGGAGAGGAAGGUAGAAUUCCCGGUGUAGCGGUGAAAUGCGUAGAGAUCGGGAGGAAUACCAGUGGCGAAGGCGGCCUUCUGGACUGACACUGACGCUGAGGUGCGAAAGCGUGGGUAGCAAACAGGAUUAGAUACCCGGGUAGUC